GCGGCGGUAGCUUAGUGGUAGAAAGCUGGCCAGCCACCCUAGUGGUCCAGGGUUCGAUUCCCAGUCGACGCA
This 72-nucleotide transfer RNA is filed under the name Trichobilharzia regenti. It matches the Rfam family "tRNA". Rfam says of the family: Transfer RNA (tRNA) molecules are approximately 80 nucleotides in length. Lineage: Eukaryota; Metazoa; Platyhelminthes; Trematoda; Strigeidida; Schistosomatidae. The record is from Rfam by way of RNAcentral.